AUACGGAAGGUCCGGGCGUUAUCCGGAUUUAUUGGGUUUAAAGGGAGCGCAGACGGGCUGUUAAGCGUGACGUGAAAUCCGGGGGCUCAACCUUCGGCUGCGUCGCGAACUGGCGGCCUUGAGUGGACGGUAGGCAGGCGGAAUUCGUGGUGUAGCGGUGAAAUGCUUAGAUAUCACGAAGAACCCCGAUUGCGAAGGCAGCUUGCCGAAGUCUUACUGACGUUCAUGCUCGAAGGUGCGGGUAUCGAACAGGAUUAGAUACCCUGGUAGUCCGCACGGUAAACGAUGGAUGCCCGCUGUUGGCGACACACUGUCAGCGGCCAAGCGAAAGCAUUAAGCAUCCCACCUGGGGAGUACGCCGGCAACGGUGAAACUCAAAUGAAUUGACGGGG
RNAcentral lists this ribosomal RNA (392 nucleotides) under uncultured bacterium. RNAcentral's name for it is "partial 16S ribosomal RNA". It matches the Rfam family "Bacterial small subunit ribosomal RNA", at positions 523 to 918 of the family's 1533-position model. The record is from RNAcentral.